Long non-coding RNA from Salvia splendens (bonfire salvia), 1123 nucleotides. RefSeq lists it as uncharacterized. NCBI's taxonomy places the organism in Eukaryota, Viridiplantae, Streptophyta, Magnoliopsida, Lamiales, Lamiaceae. The transcript is spliced from 2 exons. The record is from RefSeq and is a predicted model, not a curated record.
CCCAUAUACUCCACCCCACUUAUCGGUUUCUCUCUCUCUCAAUUACUAUUCACUCUUCUUCCCCAAAUUGCACAAAAUAGGGAAAUUCCUCCCCCAAAUCCGAAUUUCCGCCUCCUAACCCAGCUUCACACCUCGCUGUCGUUGACCAGCCAUCCCUCCGGCGUCGCCGUCGUCGUCGCUCCACCGCCUGCGUUUUCCCUCCGUCGCCUCUUUCCUCACCCCCUCUUUCUCUCCCUCGGCUCCCCCCUCUCCUCUCCUAUCUCUCAUCUCUCCCUCUCUUCUUCUCUCUCGGCUUUCUCCCUCUCUCCACUCCGUUUCCAGCCGUCUCUGUCGGCAUGCACCGCCGAUGUCGACCCCCUUCCAGAUCGGCUGCCGCCGCCAAUUUCAGACAUGUUGUAAAGAAUGAAAAUCAGUGACGGAUUUUGGAGCGUGGCUGUCACCGUCGGCGACGGAGUGCCGAGCUUACUGACGGAAACCUCACCGGCAGACUCCUAUGUCAUUUCAAGCUAAGUUCCUGUUAUCCUUUGAGAAAUAGCCAUUUUUAUGUUCGUGAGAUGCUAUAACAAUUAUGUUCUAGAGGUGCUAAAUUGCCUAUAUGCAAUAUGUUGUAAUAGGUGAAAAAAAAAUGAGGUGUUUGUGUGAUUAUGAAAAGGAAUUGCUGAAUUUGUCUCUUUUAUGAUACUAUGACAAAGGUCUUGGUGGAUUGCUUCCUCCUACUUCCGUUGGGAGAAUAUUGUGGGAGUUUUGUUUAUCUAAAGUAGGUGGAUGAAAAUGAUUGUAUAUUUAUAUACAUAUACACAAAAGAUGGCGGUGAAAGUGACGUGUAGCAAGUUACCUGACAUUCCUAUCUCAAAUUAUUCUCCUUUGUCAGAAGGGGAUAUGACUUUAUCUGUUUUAAUUAAACACAGUAUUUUAUUUUUUUAUUAAAUUAAUUAUUUAAGUAUUUGUUCACUUAUUCUUUUAAAUUGGUGUAGGAAAGAACCCGGUUCAAGCUCGUGGCUGCCCGCGCUGAAGUACCCGAUUUGCUUAAAACGUAGGAUGUAUUAAAUUUUGUUGGAUGUAUCGGAUAUUAAAAUUUUAAUUUUGGGAUCUCAUUUAUUUAUUUAUUUAUUUAAAUUUAUUA